GCAUGUAGUACCGACAGUGGAGAACUGGCGGACGGGGGUUCAAAUCCCCCCGGCUCCACCA
Molecule: transfer-messenger RNA, 61 nt
Filed under: marine metagenome
Description: transfer-messenger RNA Psmon_fulva_12X
Rfam family: transfer-messenger RNA
About the family: Bacterial tmRNA, also known as 10Sa RNA or SsrA, is named for its dual tRNA and mRNA-like properties. Its role is to liberate the mRNA from a stalled ribosome. To accomplish this part of the tmRNA is used as a reading frame that ends in a translation stop signal.
Source: RNAcentral